Molecule: long non-coding RNA, 746 nt
Organism: Myodes glareolus (Bank vole)
Lineage: Eukaryota; Metazoa; Chordata; Mammalia; Rodentia; Cricetidae
Source: RefSeq, a predicted model, not a curated record
GCGAGUGCGGCUGGCUCCCAGGAAACUCUGUUUACAAAAGCAGUCAGCCCCGACUGAGACCAUUGUUUGCCAACACCCAGAAUGGCAGGUGUUGUAAGAGAGUGAGGCUGUCUCCAGGCAGAGGAAGUGUGAUCAUCGACCCACCCUGUGUAUAAAUGUACUGUAAGUCGAGCAGCAGGUUCUGGGUCAGCCAGUGUCUGCAGAGUGAACUGUGCCUGCUCCAGGGUGCACACAUCCACCUGGGUAGGUUCAGCAUUCACUGGCUACUCUUCUGGAAGACCUGGUUUGGUUCCCAGCACUUCCACGGAAGCUCAGAAGUGUUCGCAAGUCCUUUCCCAGAGGAUCCAAUGGUGUCGACAGAAAAUGAACAAAAUCUCAAGGAUUUCCCUUGUUCUGUUCUGUUUGGGUUUGUAACGAGGUCUUAGUAGGUAGCACAAGUGGGGCUUGAAUUUAGGAUUCUUGCUUCUGCUUCCCCAGUUUUAAGUUCACGAUUGGUGGCCACAUUGUAUCAUCAUACCUACAGAGGACUACCUUUCAUGUCUCAUCAGAUUUUCUCAGCAGAAAAACUUCAUUAUUCCUUUUAAGGAUGACAAACUGCACCCAAAGCCUCAUCGUACAGACAUAAGCCAGAGGUUGUAGACAGUAAGGCACAGCACACAGUAGGGAAAUGCUGUGCUUAAGAAGCUCAGACUGGUGUGGCUGUGACACGGAGCUCCUCGGUGGCCUGGAUGAGGUGGAGGUGAAGG